GUUUGAGUAGCUCAGUUGGUUAGAGCAAAGGAUUGAAAAUCCUUGUGUCGGCAGUUCAAAUCUGCCCUUAAAUA
This 74-nucleotide transfer RNA is filed under the name Didymosphenia geminata (rock snot). RNAcentral's name for it is "tRNA-Phe". It matches the Rfam family "tRNA". Rfam says of the family: Transfer RNA (tRNA) molecules are approximately 80 nucleotides in length. Their secondary structure includes four short double-helical elements and three loops (D, anti-codon, and T loops). The record is from RNAcentral. Lineage: Eukaryota; Bacillariophyta; Bacillariophyceae; Cymbellales; Cymbellaceae.